RNAcentral lists this ribosomal RNA (497 nucleotides) under Cofana subvirescens. Its description in RNAcentral is "partial 16S ribosomal RNA". Lineage: Eukaryota; Metazoa; Arthropoda; Insecta; Hemiptera; Cicadellidae. The record is from RNAcentral.
UUUUUUUAGUUAAAAUUUAAAAGUAAUUUCUGCCCUAUGAUUAUUUAAAUGGCUGCAGUAUUUUGACUGUACAAAGGUAGCAUAAUAAUUAGUCUUUUAAUUGAUGACUGGAAUGAAUGAAGAUAUGAGAUUUUUUCUUUAUUUUUAUUAAUAUUUGAAUUUAAUUUUUAGGUAAAAAAGCUUAAAUUUUUUAUCGGGACGAUAAGACCCUAUAGAACUUAAAAAACUUUUUUCUAAUUUUUGGUUUAUUUAAAUUAAUUUUUGUUUUUUUAGUUGGGGUGAUUAAUAAAUUUUUACUACUUUAUUUUUUUAGAUCAUUUAUGAGUGUUUCUUAGAUCUUAUAAUUUAAAUUUUAAGAUUAAGUUACCUUAGGGAUAACAGCGUAAUUUUAAUGGUAAGUUCGUAUUUAUAUUAAAGUUUGCGACCUCGAUGUUGAAUUAAGUUAAUUAAAGGGGGUAGAUUUUCUUUUUAUAAGUCUGUUCGACUUUUAUAAUCUU